AUUGAACGCUGGCGGCAGGCCUAACACAUGCAAGUCGAGCGAGCGGCGGACGGGUGAGUAAUGUCUGGGAAACUGCCUGCUGGAGGGGGAUAACUACUGGAAACGGUAGCUAAUACCGCAUACCAUCAGAUGUGCCCAGCUGGGAUUAGCUAGUAGGUGGGGUAAUGGCUCACCUAGGCGACGAUCCCUAGCUGGUCUGAGAGGAUGACCAGCCACACGGCAACGGAGACACGGUCCAAACUCCUACGGGAGGCAGCGGUGGGGAAUAUGGGACAAUGGGCGCAAGCGUGAUGCGUCCAUGCCGCGUGUGUGAAUAGGGCCUUCGGGUUGUAGAGCACUUUCAGCUGGGAGGCGUUACCCGCAGAAGAAGCACCGGCUAACUCCGUGCCAGCAGCCGCGGUAAUUC
This 406-nucleotide ribosomal RNA is filed under the name uncultured bacterium. Its description in RNAcentral is "partial 16S ribosomal RNA". It matches the Rfam family "Bacterial small subunit ribosomal RNA", at positions 30 to 526 of the family's 1533-position model. The record is from RNAcentral.